UUUAAUUUACUAGUUUAAUUUUGUAAAGAAGUUUAUUUAAUAAAAUCAUUUUUAAAUGAAAGAGUUUUAGUAUAGGAUAUAGAUAAAAUUGUUAGAGUAAUAGAUUAAUUGUAUUGUGAAAGGUUACUUGAAAUAUAUUGAAAAUAUAAUUUUUUAAAAGUAGAUUUGAUUUAUUGUACCUUGUGUAUCAGGGUUUAUUAAAAAUUUUAUGAAUAGUCAUAUUUCCCGAUUUGAAGAGAGCUAAUUAAUUAUGUUAGUUAAUGUAGAAUAAUUAUUAAAAAUAAUUAAUUAGUAAUGAAACGUUAUCCGUUCUUCAAGAUAUCUGGUUUUCUAAGAAAUGAAUUUAAUUCAGAUAUUUAAAGUUAAGUAUUUGUUUGUAAGAAGUAGUUAAUUAUUAAAUAUUAAUAUUUCGGGGGAUAAGCUUCGAAAUAUUACCUAUAAGAUUAUUUUUGGUUCAAAAAUGUUGUAGGCUUAGAAUUAGCCAUCAAUAAAAGGAUGUUAUAAUUUAAUUUUUGUUCAAUAAAAUUUUCAUUAAUUUUAGGAAGUUCAUUAGAAUGUUACUUUUAAUUUUAAAAAGUUAGUAAUAAUGAUAAAAUUAGUAUAAAAAUUGUUUAUUAUUUAAAUUUAAUGUAAGGUUAUAUUAAGGAAUUAGGCAAAUAAAUACUCGCCUGUUUAACAAAAACAUGUCUUCUUGAUUAUAAUUUGAAGUCUGACCUGCCCACUGAAUUUUAAAUUUUAAGGGCCGCGGUAUUUUGACCGUGCAAAGGUAGCAUAAUCAUUAGUCUUUUAAUUGAAGGCUAGAAUGAAUGGUUGGACGAGGUAUUGACUGUCUCAAUAUAAAUGAGAGUAGAAUUUAACUUUUAAGUCAAAAGGCUUAAAUGUCAUUAAAGGACGAGAAGACCCUAUAGAGCUUUAUAUUGAAGUAUUUAUUAUAAAUUUAGAAGAAUUUUUUUUAAUAGGUAUUGAAGUAUUUUGUUGGGGUGACAGGAAGAUAAACAAAACUCUUUUUAGUUUAAUUACAUUGAUUUAUGAAUUGUUGAUCCAUUUUUAGUGAUUAUAAGACUAAGUUACCUUAGGGAUAACAGCGUAAUCUUUUUCGAGAGUUCUUAUCGACAAAAAGGGUUGCGACCUCGAUGUUGGAUUAAGGGUAAUUUUGGGUGUAGAUGUUCAAAGUUUAGGUCUGUUCGACCUUUAAAUCCUUACAUGAUCUGAGUUCAGACCGGUGUAAGCCAGGUCGGUUUCUAUCCUUAAUAAAUAGUGAUGCUUUAGUACGAAAGGACCAAGUAUUGGAAAUAAAUUUCUUAAAUGUUGAUUAAUAUUAACGGAAUU
This 1329-nucleotide ribosomal RNA is filed under the name Brachyptera risi. RNAcentral describes it as "16S ribosomal RNA". The stretch from base 884 to 1252 matches the Rfam family "Bacterial large subunit ribosomal RNA", at positions 2072 to 2648 of the family's 2925-position model. Lineage: Eukaryota; Metazoa; Arthropoda; Insecta; Plecoptera; Taeniopterygidae. The record is from RNAcentral.